Molecule: unclassified non-coding RNA, 334 nt
Filed under: Hevea brasiliensis (rubber tree)
Lineage: Eukaryota; Viridiplantae; Streptophyta; Magnoliopsida; Malpighiales; Euphorbiaceae
Source: RNAcentral
UCAGCUUGUUGAAAUUAUAAAGGUAAUAGUUUGUUAAAUUUCUCACCAACAAAAGGCACCAAGUAAUCUGUAUUAAGCCAUUCAUUUCCCAUUGUAUCUGAGUGUGGAUGCUAUUGAAACUUAGUCAUCCUAAUGAACCUUUCUUAUGACAAUGCUUAUUGAAAGAAAUUGAUAAACUGUUAGUCUGACCAAGGAUAUUCAAAUUUUUAUUCAUAUUCAAACUUACCAUCCCACUGAGAUUAGAAAAUCCAAACUUUUAUUUCUAGUAAUUUAUUUUAUUUCCUUACUAUAAUUUUUGUGAUUGUCUUGCAGGUUUUGGGUACCCCUACACGGG